Molecule: ribosomal RNA, 384 nt
Filed under: Leegaardiella sp.
Lineage: Eukaryota; Ciliophora; Spirotrichea; Choreotrichida; Leegaardiellidae
Description: partial small subunit ribosomal RNA
Rfam family: Eukaryotic small subunit ribosomal RNA
Source: RNAcentral
AUUCCAGCUCCAAUAGCGUAUAUUAAAGUUGUUGCAGUUAAAAAGCUCGUAGUUGGAUUUCUGGCCGAGUGUCCCCAGGCCAGCAUGACGUUUGGUCCUGGGCGCUCUGCCAUCCUUCUGUCAACCUUCGCCUCGUUCAUUCGUGGCGCUGGGGCUCAGAUAUUUUACCUUGAGAAAAUUAGAGUGUUUCAGGCAGGCUUUCGCCGGAAUACAUUAGCAUGGAAUAAUGGAAAAGGACUUCAACCUCUUCUGUUGGUCUGAGAGGCUGUAGUAAUGAUUAAUAGGGACAGUCAGGGGCACUCGUAUUUCGCCGAGAGAGGUGAAAUUCUCAGACCAGCGGAAGACGAACCACUGCGAAAGCAUUUGCCAGGGAUGUUUUCAUUA